RNAcentral lists this ribosomal RNA (508 nucleotides) under uncultured bacterium. Its description in RNAcentral is "partial 16S ribosomal RNA". It matches the Rfam family "Bacterial small subunit ribosomal RNA", at positions 30 to 523 of the family's 1533-position model. The record is from RNAcentral.
AUUGAACGCUGGCGGCAGGCCUAACACAUGCAAGUCGAGCGGCAGCGGGAAAGUAGCUUGCUACUUUUGCCGGCGAGCGGCGGACGGGUGAGUAAUGCCUGGGAAAUUGCCCAGUCGAGGGGGAUAACAGUUGGAAACGACUGCUAAUACCACAUACGCCCUACGGGGGAAAGCAGGGGACCUUCGGGCCUUGCGCGAUUGGAUAUGCCCAGGUGGGAUUAGCUAGUUGGUGAGGGAAUGGCUCACCAAGGCGAAGAUCCCUAGCUGGUCUGAGAGGAUGAUCAGCCACACUGGAACUGAGACACGGUCCAGACUCCUACGGGAGUCAGCAGUGGGGAAUAUUGCACAAUGGGGGAAACCCUGCUGCAGCCAUGCCGCGUGUGUGAAGAAGGCCUUCGGGUUGUAAAGCACUUUCAGCGAGGAGGAAAGGUUGAUGCCUAAUACGUAUCAACUGUGACGUUACUCGCAGAAGAAGCACCGGCUAACUCCGUGCCAGCCGCCGCCGUAA